This 492-nucleotide ribosomal RNA is filed under the name uncultured bacterium. RNAcentral's name for it is "partial 16S ribosomal RNA". It matches the Rfam family "Bacterial small subunit ribosomal RNA", at positions 29 to 507 of the family's 1533-position model. The record is from RNAcentral.
AGUGAACGCUGGCGGUAGACCUAACACAUGCAAGUCGAACGGCAGCACAGUAAGAGCUUGCUCUUACGGGUGGCGAGUGGCGGACGGGUGAGGAAUACAUCGGAAUCUACUUUUUCGUGGGGGAUAACGUAGGGAAACUUACGCUAAUACCGCAUACGACCUACGGGUGAAAGCAGGGGAUCUUCGGACCUUGCGCGAUUGAAUGAGCCGAUGUCGGAUUAGCUAGUUGGCGGGGUAAAGGCCCACCAAGGCGACGAUCCGUAGCUGGUCUGAGAGGAUGAUCAGCCACACUGGAACUGAGACACGGUCCAGACUCCUACGGGAGGCAGUAGUGGGGAAUAUUGGACAAUGGGCGCAAGCCUGAUCCAGCCAUACCGCGUGGGUGAAGAAGGCCUUCGGGUUGUAAAGCCCUUUUGUUGGGAAAGAAAAGCAGCAGGUUAAUACCCCGCUGUUCUGACGGUACCCAAAGAAUAAGCACCGGCUAACUUCGUG